RNA transcript from Symphalangus syndactylus (siamang), 2060 nucleotides. It is a transcript of the gene named aspartate beta-hydroxylase domain containing 1, with no coding region annotated. The record is from RefSeq and is a predicted model, not a curated record. NCBI's taxonomy places the organism in Eukaryota, Metazoa, Chordata, Mammalia, Primates, Hylobatidae.
GCUGGAGGCUGGCACCGUGGCCCCUGCGCCCCACGUGGGGCCCUUUCUGGGCUGGGGGGGUGGGGUGGAGGCACAUCCAGAGACGACUCUCCCCCCUCCCCCGGCCCCCGGCUGAUUUGCUGUGCCACUGGGAGGGUUCGGGGGUGGCUGAGCUGAGAGGGCUCCGGGAAGGAGUGACGUCAGGGUGAGUGGGAGCCCAGGAAGGAGCGAGUAGGAGAGAGGGAGGGAGAGCCAGGCAGGACCGCAGGGUCGGGGCUAGUGAGGAGCGAGGGCAAGGAGAGAGCAGUGAGGCCGGAGAGAAAGAAGCUGCCACGGAGGAAGACAGGCUGCGGGUUCCCGGGACUGCAGGUCCAGGCAGGGUAGGAACCGCUGCCCAGGGGAGCUAGGAGGAAGCGGGGAGAGAAAGCGAGCGAAAAGCGGGGGUGGGGAGGAAAGGGGGAGACUGAGGUGGGAGAGAGAAGCAGAGCGAGAGAGAGGAGUCUGCUGGAAGGAGAAAGAAGAGGGUGAGGAGGCGACAGAGGGAGAGGAGGAAGAAGAGGUAGAAGGAGAGAGAGGGGAGAGAGUAAGGAGAGAGGAGGGUUAGAGGCGCAUGAAGGAGGGGAGAGGGAGCUUCAGCGUGGAGAGAGGACCGCGGAAGGAGAGAGAGAGAGCCCAGAGUGGAAUGUGGCAGGGAAACAGUCCAGCGGGGAGCCAGGGGGUAGCCAUGGAAGGGACAGGUGGGGAGCUGGGGGGACAGGGGAACUGGGGUCCGGAGGACGCCCCAGGCCUCUUGGGCAGGGCCUCCCUGAUCAUGCUCCCGUGGCCACUACCCCUGGCCUCCUCGGCCCUCACCUUGCUCUUCGGGGCCCUCACUUCCCUGUUCCUCUGGUACUGCUACCGCCUGGGCUCCCAAGACGUGCAGGCCCUAGGGGCUGGGGGCCGGGCUGGGGGUGUUCGUGGUGGGCCUGUGGGAUGCUCGGAGGCCGGCGGGCCAAGCCCAAAGGGUCCUGGGGAUCCCGGGGAAGGACCUAGGACGGAAGGCCUAGUGAGCCGGCGGCUUCGGGCCUACGCAAGGCGCUACUCCUGGGCUGGGAUGGGUAGAGUGAGGCGGGCAGCUCACGGUGGCCCAGGCCCUGGGAGAGGGCCAGGGGUCCUAGGUAUUCAGCGCCCAGGCCUGCUUUUCCUACCAGACCUGCCUUCAGCCCCCUUUGUGCCGCGGGACGCCCAGCGGCACGACGUGGAGCUCCUGGAGGGCAGCUUCCCUGCCAUUUUGCGGGACUUCGGAGCUGUGAGCUGGGACUUCUCAGGGACUACCCCUCCGCCUCGGGGCUGGUCCCCACCUCUGGCCCCCGGGUGCUACCAGCUCCUGCUGUACCAAGCAGGCCGGUGCCAACCCAGCAACUGCCGCCGGUGCCCGGGGGCCUAUCGGGCACUGAGGGGGCUUCGAAGCUUUAUGAGUGCCAACACCUUCGGCAAUGCCGGCUUUUCCGUUCUCCUGCCUGGGGCCCGGCUCGAGGGCCGCUGUGGGCCCACCAAUGCCCGGGUCAGAUGCCAUCUGGGCCUAAAGAUCCCUCCUGGCUGUGAGCUGGUGGUCGGCGGUGAGCCCCAGUGCUGGGCUGAGGGGCACUGUCUACUGGUGGACGACUCUUUUCUACACACAGUGGCUCACAAUGGCUCCCCCGAAGAUGGGCCUCGAGUGGUCUUCAUCGUGGACCUCUGGCACCCCAACGUGGCAGGGGCUGAGCGCCAGGCCCUCGACUUUGUCUUCGCACCAGACCCUUGAAGGAAGGUGCUCCCUUCACACACCCGGGCUGGAGAGAUACUGCGCUCAGGGACGGCUUGAUGAGUCAGGGUCUUGCUUUGUUGCCCAGGCUGGUCUUGAACUCCUGGGCUCAAGUGAUCCUUCUGCCUCAACCUCCUAAGUAGUUGGGAUUACACGUGUGAGCCACCACGCCCGGCUAGAUACCUCCUAACACAGGCAUCUCCCCGUCCCUCUCCCCAGGAGCCAGCACCAGUUCCUCAACUUAACUUUAUUUCAAUAAUUUAAUAGAAAAUUAAAAUAAUAAAUAAUAUGAAACAGA